GUCUACAUCACUACAUGUAUAAAUUUGGGAUACAAACCACCGGUUACAAACCGUUUGCAAGAUUGGUUAUAAAUGGAGCGGUUUGUUUCUAAUUGCCUCUAGCUACCAAUCAAACCAAUUACAUAUUCCAGAAUAACGUUUAAAUUUGAGUGACAAAAACAAUAACAAUUAAAUCUAAAAUAGUAUUUGAACUUCAAUGUCAGCAUAAAAUAAUCACUUUCGGAUAGCUGGAUAGUUAACUAAAAUAGGGAUUUUAAUAAUUGAUGAAGUUAUGUUAUACUAAUCUAUUUGAAACUGGAUUCGUGGAUCCCAGUCAUUCGUGUGUGGAGUAAAAUCAUACUAGUAGCCCUUUUGGUGUUGAAAAAGCCAAAAUUUAAUCCUUACACGUGAACUUGUUCAAAAAAUGUCAUCUUAAAAAAAUUAUUAAUGAUAGAUACAAAGGCAAAAAACUCGACAAAGUAAACAUACUAAAAAAGAAAAACUCUUGCUCGUUCAUGGGUUCCAGUAUGUGAAUUAGUUGUAAUAGCUUUCGUAACGGUAUUUACUAUCUACAUAUUUACAUUUUAAUUUGAUAAAUUUUUGUCAAAAUUUUAAUGACUUUAUUGCACCAACUACUAGGAAGAAUUUGGGGACGUUCAUUUCAGAGAGAUCUUAGUAAAAAUGUUGCUCCUAUAUUUAUUGUAGCUGUCAUUUAAGAAGUCCAUUCUCUUCAUCAUGAUAGUAGAAAACACCUAAGAUGUUAUGAAACAAUAAUAACAACUUUUUGUAAGAACAAUGUUAUAAGAUACCUUUUAUCAAAAAAAAUUAUAAGAUAAAUCCAACCCUAGAGACAUAUUUGCUAUAUAUAUAACACCCAUAUUGUCAGGUAAUUUUGGUUGUAUCAUCCGGUCGUGGAGUUAUAUAGCCGACCAUAAAACUUGGCCAUUGAAUCAACCAUCAGAACGAUUUACCUAGCUGCCGAGUCAACCAUUUUUUAUUGUGAUUUAUCCAUGGGAGCAUCAAUUCAUUUGAGAAAAGAAUAUACAUCACCAUUAUAUUUUUAUUAUUGAUCUUCUCAUCGUUAUCGUCAUCACGAAUAACGUCUUUGCUUCAAAGAGACACCGUCUUAAUUCCACACCGUAAGGGUGUACGUACGUAAUCCAUCGUCCGUACCAUCAAAAACCAUACCCCCACCGUCACUCUUAAUCUAUGGUGUUUCUACUUCGUCAAACAUCAUCAUGGUUUUGAUUUCUUUUUUAUUAAAAAAUCGACGAAGCAAUGUUCUAGAAAAAUCCGUCACUAAGAAUUGGACGUAUCUUCUUCGUUUUCGUGAAAAGAGCAACAUAAAAAAAUAAUCUUACAACCAUUUCAUCAAUACUGAGGGAUUGGUUUAGCUAAUUUUUCAAAGUUGUUUUUCCUUUUUCUUUUUGUUGUCGGCUUAAGAAAGUUUAGAUUACGAAAGUACAUUAAAUUCUUUUUUUAUAAAACAAUAGUUUCAUCCAAACACAUCAUCAUUAAGAGAGCCGAAACGUCUUCAAGAACUCACACAAAAGGACAACAACAUAAACUAUGUAUUACAGAUUGCUUAUAACGAAAAUUUGCGUUAUCUAAAUUCAGUCCAUGUGAGUCCAACAAAAAAAUCAAUCAUUUCUACACUGGAAUCCACAAAUUUCUGAUUUGGGUUUACAUAUACAACCAAAGCUUCCACCUAAUAGGUAAACACACUUUACCAGUCGAUAAACCAGUAAGAUUCAAAUUUAUGCAUGGCUUCCCCACAUACAAGAAUAUAUGUAUAUGUGUAUAUGAAUAUUCUAAGUGGUCAUAUGGAAUCCAUAAAUCCAAAAAGAUUGGAAUAAAAAGAGUAAGAGUAACGCAGCGAAAAUCUGAUGUGUAAAAGAGAUGGUUUUGGAAGUUGUUGCAAUAGAAGCGUAUGAUAAGAAAAGAGACAUGCACUUGAGCUCUACCGAGAAGGAAGUAGGCGAGCCAUACGCAUCUGGAUGAUAUAUGAUUUCUCCUUGACCACAUUUGAAUUCUCCUAAACUCCAUUCCUAUAUAUUGUUUCAUAGAUUUAUCAAAAGAUAUGAUUACCAUACAGUUGAUUUGAUCAUAUCAUAUAUUAUUAACAAGUGACAUAUAAAUAGUGUUGAAGUGUUCAUACGAACCUCAAGCUGGCGACCAAAAGUGACAAGGAUAGUGUCGGGAUCAGCGUGGAAAGAAAGUGGGCCUUUUCCUGAGUUGAUACGGAACUCGCAGUUCUUGGCCGGAAGGUGAAGGCUGAGUGUGUAAUGAAGCAUUUCUUCUGUCUUUUCUUUAGGCAAAGGAGGGCUUUGCUCUGUGACGUUUUCAUGAUUGUACCUGUAAACGCUGAGCACAGAUUCUCCUCUUUGUAUUCUUUUAUCAGUCUGUCUCCUUGAGUUUUCUACCAUUAUUUGCCCUAGUUUCCUUGCUACCCCUUCAAGUUUAUCAGCUACAUUCUCCAUUUCUUGGCUGCAACAAAGAUCCAAAUAUUUUAUCCAAAAUCCUCAAAUCACUUCUUUAUUCAUAAUAACAUUCAAGUUUGUUAAAAAAAGUGUGGCCCAAUAACGGCCCAAUACCUGAAACAGCGGUACCUUUCCGGUCCGAUAUACUCGCGCGCCCAUUCCAUGCGCUCCUUCCACGACCGAACCCAAACGAUCUCGUCUCUGUUUCCGACAACACUCCGGCGAAACCCGGUGUCUCUUCCCUCUAAAACUCCGAAAACCCGACCCGAUUCCCUAACAAGAGACCUAAGCUCCUCGCUCGAUAUCCCAUGGUAGCUCACACGAAACGCCCCGAACUCCCUCGCCGAUCGCACCAGACGAUCCACCGAUCCUUCUCUCCUCGACGCCAAUAGCCGGAAAUCAAUCUCCGCCGGGAUCAGGUGGCGUGAACCGCAAGAUUCACCGCCCGAAUGAGAUUCAGGGAGCGUGAGCUCUGGAACCUGGAUCGAUCUCUCGAUGAUCUCGGUGAGGAUCUCGCUCGCAGCGGAGCGAGAUCCUCUGGCUCUAGGGAUCGGAGACGGAGGAGGUGGUGGUGGAGUCAAUGAAGAUACGUUCAAUUGGCUCCUGGUUCGCAUCAGAGCCAUCGGAGAGAGAAGAUGAUCCGACGUUUUCGGGCGGGUUUCCAAUUAAUAAAAUCCGCCCCAAGAAAAAAAUGGAAAGACUUUUUUGUUUUUCGAUUGUUAGAGAAGGCACAUUCCUUUGCGUAUUUCUUUUAUUUGUUUUGUAUUCAAUUUCUUGAGAAAGUGAGGGUCCAUUACUGAAUUCGAAUGUAAGAAAAAAUUAAUAUUUUAUUUACUUCGUGUUGUUUACAUGAUUGUGAUAUGGUUUAGUGAAUGAGAAUGAUGAUGAUCAUAUAUGGUUCUGUAACUUCAUUUGCGCUGUGAAGAUUCGAAUAUGUCAGAUGGAAAAGCUUUGAGAAAUGCAUUCAUAAGAUGUUUGCCACCUUGAGUUCUUGGGCCAUUAUAUGGGCCGCAUUGAAUGUUUUGAUCCGGUCCACAUGUUUAAGUGCUAAUCAAUCUCAAGGACAAGAUAGAUAGGCUUUUGAAAAUUUGCGAAGAGACAAAGGAUUUGAAUUUCCUCUUUUAAGGACCAUAGUCCUUAGGAAGAGGAAACGAAAAAGUUUGACAUAUGUGGACAUAAGGCAAAGAAGUAAAGGUUGUCCAGCACUGUAAUAAGACAUUAAGACCAUUGAAUAAUUGAGAAACCCUUAAUCACUUGGAUCCAAUAUUUUAGUAUCCCCUUUCAUAUAUAGCUUCCCUUUUAGUAUGUUAUUAUAGACUAUAUAUCAAGCCCCAUUAACUACAUGUGGACAUGAAUGAUCAAAUUUAGUUACCCCGAAGUUGACAUGAAUGAUCAAAUCUAACAGAAACAAGUACUAUAAAGUCUGUUAAUAAGAACCCCAAGCUAAUCGAAGGGUCGUUAUUAAUAAUACAUAUGUAUAUCUGUACCAAUUCGUUUUCUCGUGGCGUAAUUAAAAUAUAAAAAUUUGUACCAACCAAGUUUUUGAAUUCGUUUUUUUAAGUUUUAGAUAAGUGGACCAAACUAAGUUAACAAGUGUAAGUUCUACAUUUUAAGUAGCAAAAGAGAAAAGUUAGCAAGUGUGGUGUGUGUGCAUAAUUGAAGUUAAAGGGCAUGCAUGUGAUUAUACACUAAUUGGUUAGUCAUAGCAUCUUCCGUACGUUAGUAAGCUUCGCUUAUGGUCCCCAUUCGAAUACUCCUUUUAUAAUUUGCUCCACCAGAUUUUGGGCAAUAAGAUGACAAAUUUAACUAUCAAAACGAAGAAUAGGAAGCAGAACCAUUCGGAGGAUAAAUUUUAUUAAAAACAGUUGUUUAUUAUUACAAAUGAUAUAUACGUAGGUGUCGCAGUAGGAGACAUGGAACAAACACCGAAGCUGUCGCUAUCAAAGAAGAUGUAAUGGAAGUGUGAAAAUAGCUUAUAAACUCUUUUGCAUGGGUCGGAGAAGACAAUCACCACCUCCCCUAAUGAUUUUGUAUUUCGAAAAUCUUCACUUUAUCGAAGAAAUUUAUUUUUAUUAUAAGAAAAUUGCAGCUAAAAUGCCUUUAAGAUGACACCAUCAUUGAAUUUUUUUUUUCAGAAUCUUUUAUAUUAUCGAAGAAAUUGUUAUUUAAAAAUUGCAAAUUGCAAUUAAGUAGAAGCCCUUAAUUAAUCCCUUUCAACAACGUAUUAUGAUGUUUAAUUUUAUCCUUAUUGUUGAACCAACAAAAUACAAUUAUCCUUAUUCUAAAUUUUGGCUAAUGAUUCAAAAUUUCACAUUUUCUUAACUCUUGUGUUAAUAAAUUAGUAAUUAAUGCUAAGGGUGCAUCAUUUAUGCAUACAAAGAUAACUAUUUCAAUAUUUUCCGUAAGAAAAUAUUUUUGUGAACCAAACAAAAAAAAAUGUUGGGAAAGGAAUAGUGCUCAAUGUAGAAGAGCUAACGUACACUUGUCAAAACCUACGUGAAACCUUGUCUUUCUUUCAUUAUGUAAACCGUGGAAGCAUUUCAAACAGACACACACGGUAAUUCUGAUAUUAGCAAGCCUAAAAUAACUUGGAUGACCAGAUUUUAAAAAGUAAACCAUAUACUAAAAAGCAUGCAUAAGGAAGCUCAAUAAACAAGGAACAUAAAAUCAUAAACUAUAAAAAAAACAUGGAAAAAAAUAGCUCAAUACACAACGUGCAUGAGGUCGGAUAUUUUCUAGUAAAGAACAUGAUUUUUCAUUGCAUCAUUGGCUUUAAGUUUCCUUUCUAUAGUUUUCAAACAUCUCGGUUUGUUUGUUAAUGACACAUUUUUAUUUAUAGUUAAAUGUUAUGUUAGUGCCGACAGAAAAAAAUAUUACAACAACAGUACAUGAAGAUGUCGGUUGAAUGAUUAAAUUUUAUGUCAUUCUGAUGGACUGUCGAUCAACUUUCAGGUAACAUCGACAAAAAUUGUAUGUAUAUAAGAUUGAGUUUUCUAAAGAAAGAGGCUUGAAUCUAAAGUCCUAAACUUUUACAGGUUAUAAAACUUUAGAACGCAAAUAUAUUGUUCGAUAGUGUUUAUCGUUACCAGUUAAGCAUUAUUCCCAGACAAAAAAUAACUAACACUGUAAAAUAUGUUUUAGAAUGUGUUUUAAUUUCCUAUGCAUCGAACCAGGACAAAGCUUCUUCGCUGUCUACAUUUUGGGGGAUAAUAUAAGAAAAACAAAACUUCAAACAUGUUUAUCAAUAGACAAUUAUUAGGUUUAGAUUUUGUGUAGCAUAUGGGAAUUUUUAUCCAUUAUUUAUUAUACAAAUUUAGAUAUAGGGUGUAGCAAUAGAUAAUAAUAGUAAUAAUAAUAAUAAUAAUAAUAAUAAUAAUAGUAAUAAUAAUAAUAAUAAUAAUAAUAAUAAUAAUAAUUAUAAUAAUAAUAAUAAUAAUAAUAAUAAUAAUAAUCCUAAUCCUAAUCCUAACAAGGUUUCUGUGAAGAUGAUAGAGUUCCGAAAGCUUUUUUCUUCUCCACUUUCAUCAUGAGUGGCAUUCUCAUCUGAUAGACAAUACUUAAUCUUUUUAAUUACAUAUAUAUGGGAUAAUUGCUUUGUUGUCUUCUGUACAUUAUCCGAAUCAAACGUCUACCAAUUAAUAACCAGUUUACAUACAAACAUAUAUAUUAAACAUUACUAUUUCAUCCCUAACGAUACUUAGUAUAUCCAAGCACAUUAUAUUAGCACUGAAUCCCGGAUACUUUCUACAUAUUCUUAUCAUAAAACCUAGUUCCCGCUUUUACAACUAAUUUUGCAAAUACAGUAAAACCUCUAUAAAUUAAUACUCGAUAAAUUAAUAAUCACUAUAAAUUAAUAAAGUUUUUUGGUCCCGAGUUGGGACCAGUGUAAAAAUCCAUCAAAUUCGAUAAGAUAAUAAAAUAAUAAUUUUUUUGAAACUCCUAUGUAAAUAUAUAGUCCCAACAAAAAUAUAAAUUAAUAAUUAUAUAAAUAUAUAUACAAAUAAAUAUAUAUAUAAUAUUUUAAAAUAUGAAUAAUGUGUUUACUUUUACUUAAAGUUGAAAGUUUAUUGGUGUUCAUCUAUUUGUUUAUUACAUCUCUAUCUCUUAUUGUUUUUUUGAUAUUCAUUCAAAUUUGUGAAGAAUUUUUGAUAUAAUAAUUGGUUUUCUUACACGUAAAUAUCUAUAAAUGUAUUGUAAUAUUGUCUUCAAUUUCAUCUUUUUGAUAAUAGCCACAGUUUCUUAUAAAUUUUGAACUUCUAAACAUGUAUAUUUUUAAUAGAUAAAUUAAUAUUCUAUUAAAAACUAUUUUGUUAUGAUAACUAUAUUUAUUAAUCAUUAUUUUUAUUAAGUUAUUAUCUUAAGUUUUUAAAUACAACAUUAUUCAAUUUUUUUUUUAAAAGUUAUAGACAAAAACUAGAUUAUCUCUAUAAAUUAAUAAUUAUUAAUUUAUAGAUAAAUUAAUAUCACGAUAAAUUAAUAAAAUUUCAUGGUUCCAACAUUAUUAAUUUAUAGAGGUUUUACUGUAUUUCUAUAUUUAACAGACCAAGAACUUGAUGAAUGUGGCCGGUCAUGUUGACAUGGCUCUUUAUUUAUAAUAAUAAAUAAAGACGUUUUAUACAGAAGUUCUUUUUAUAAAUACCCUGUUUUUUUCAUACUUCAGUCAACGUUUUAAACAUAUAUAUAUAUAUAUAUGUAUAUAUAAAUUUUAAGUGAAAUUUUUAGUGUCUAAAAUAUGUAAAAGUCUAGGCCUACUAAAACGAAGGAAUUAAAUUAUACCAAAAUUUGUAAUAAGGUAAUACAUGAAACGAUAUUUAAACAUUAAUCUCAAGAGACAAAUAUAAUAAAAAGCAAGAGUCGGCAAAUAUUUUAUGCUCCGAAAGAAACUACCAAGGUGAACUCAUAUUUUAUUUGAUUUUUUUACUAUAAAUGUCCUUGCUAUAAGUGGAAAGUAAAGUAUAAAGGAAGCAGCUUAGUUAAUUAGUUUGGUCUAACAUAAAUAUGUGGAAAUAUAUUAAACACACACACACACACACACUCCUUUACUGUCUACAUAACUAAAAGGAACAUGUUCCAAAAGAAAUAAAAAGCCCUAUAUAUAUUCUAAACAAAUGGAAAAAGGCAAGUAGAAAUGUAAAAUAAUUGAGAUUAAUUAGAGUGGACUAAUGGAACUAUGGAAGUGUGCAUAAAUACGAGGGAAAGGAACUUAAACAUUCUUCUUCUCUCUAACACACACAGAGACACUCGUUCCCAAAUUCUCUGGCAAUCCUCUUUUCGUAGUUAUCAACAAGUCUUUUUUGCUAUAAGUGAAGGGUGAUAGUAUAUAUAAUAUAUACAGAUAUCUAUAUAUAUGAGCAUGUGCAGAUCCAACAUGAAAAGUAGUGAAUCUGGAGAGAUUAUAAACGGAGAAUGCGAUGUUUCAACGUCAGUCAAAGAAGAAACUAGCGCCGGCAGCUCCAAAUUCUCGGCUGGCCUCCGUCGCAUCCCUUUGAACGAGGCUUGUUUCUUUCUUAUUUUAUUUUCUUAUACAUUUUCUUUCACAAAAUAUCGAUGGCUUAGAGAACUUACUCCGCUUAUUGUUUGAUUUCAUAGUUUUGGUGAUUGAAGAUUCAGGAUCAUAUCCACAUAUUAUUGGAGACGUUUUCUACGUUUUUAUUUAUAUUUUUUUCGAUGUUUGACAAGCGAAUUAGUUAAUUUUGAUUGAUUAUAGUAUCAUUUUCAGUCACUUUUAUCGUAUUUUGGGAUGGUACGUAAUAUGGAAUUCUUGGAACUUGAUCUUAUACGUACUGGAUUGAAUGCUGCUUUGACUGUUUGUAUAGCUUCAUAAUGGAAAGUCAUGCAUCUCUUUUAAAACAAUCAAUUUGAACAAAACCCCUGUCACAAAAAAAAAAAUACAAUCAGUUUGAAGAAAACUUAAAAUAUUUAAACUUAGUUAACAAAUGUAGUUGGGAUCCAUUAUAUGUAACCAUUGUUUAUCUCUAUAUAUAACCAAAACUUGUAUUGUCUAUAUAUAUCUAAUGUUUGAAACUUUGAAUGUGUGUGUAUGUACAUAUUCAUAUGUAUGUAUAAAGCGUCAAUAGUAUGAUAUGUUAUCUCACUUUCAUGGACUGAGAUAGAUGGUGCUUUUAUUUUGGGUUGUACUUACACAAAAAGUUUCCUAUAUAUGCUUCCUCUUAUUAUGUACAUUUUCUAUUAGUCCUUUAGUUAGUACAAGUACUUUACUAUCUUAUUAAUUCCAUUUUUUAUAUAAUCAAGUCCUUCUUGAAAUACUUCAUCUAAUUCUUUUGUAAUCUAAAUAGUAGUUCAUGAUAUUUCUACAAUAUAUGCAUUUUUUUCUAGACCGAUUUUAUGUUGUUUGAAGCAUUGAUAUUUCUAUUGAAGUUCAUGAAAUGAAAGAUAUCUAAGCUGAUUGUGUUUUCCAAAAAGAAAAUAAAAAGGUGAGCUUUUUAGAACCCAUGAUGGUUUUUAUUUAAAAAGAUCCUAGAAUGUUGGUACAGUUAGCCAUUCGCUUUUCUGUCACUUGUGAAUUUGAUUAUUCAGUUCUAAAAGUUAUAGAAUUUAAACCUUUUUUCUCUUCUUUUUCAACUUUCUCAUCCCAGUCCCAGUGGCCAUGUGAUGCGACCAUCAUCCUCGUGCUUAGGAAUUGCUCUUAUAUUUAAAUUAUAUAAUAUUUUCUCGUAUUGUAUGUAAUAUCCUUCUGUUCGAUAAAAAAAAUGUUUUAAGAAUUUUUUUCUCUUACAAAAAAAAUCGUUUUAUAUUUCGUUUAACAACUAUACUAAUGAUUGAUAUACUAAGAGAUAGCUUAAUAAAUUUUAAAUAUGUGUGAAAUAUCAUAUUGAACGAGGCUUAUAUUGGAAGUGAAAACGUAUUAAAACCAAAUCGCCUACAUAUAUUCUAGUUUUUUUUUCCAUAGAUAUAUUAUUUUCCUGUGUUAUAUAUAAUAAACGAUUAAAGACUAGAUCAUAUAAAAGUAUUUUGUUAAAUGUCAAUAUACUUAGCUCGCGCGCUUCUUUCUUUAUAUGUAUAGUAUUUUCUUGAAUGCUUGUAACUAUAAGUCUAUAAGCCCAGUACAAUAAAAUAAUGAAUGCUUUUCUUGUUUAUUUACUUUUUUAUAUGUCUCGGAUUAAUAGUUAUUGACUUGAAAAACCUAACAUAUAUUUUUUCCUCCCAUGCAGGUGGGAGAGGAAAUGUCGUCGCUCACGAAAAUAGCAUGCCCGAUCGUGAUGACAUCACUCCUCAUUUUCUCGAGAUCAAUAAUCUCAAUGUGGUUCUUGAGCCACCUCGGAAAAGUCGAACUCGCUGGUGGUGCACUCGCCAUGGGCUUUGGAAACAUCACCGGAGUCUCCGUGCUCAAAGGCCUUUCCGUUGGUAUGGACCCAAUCUGUGGCCAAGCCUUCGGUGCCAAACGUUGGACCGUACUUAGCCACACGUUUCAGAAAAUGUUCUGUCUCUUGAUUGUCGUCUCUAUUCCAAUCUCCGUCACGUGGCUCAACAUCGAACCCAUUUUCCUCAGGUUGGGUCAAGACCCGGAUAUCACACGUGUCGCCAAAACAUACAUGGUCUUCUUCGUCCCUGAGCUCUUGGCUCAAGCCAUGCUUCACCCGCUACGAACGUUCCUUAGAACGCAAGGCCUAACGUCACCAUUAACGAUAUCAGCAAUCGUAUCCAUUCUUCUUCAUCCUCUCUUUAACUACGUCUUCGUCGUGCGUAUGCGUUUAGGCGUUAAGGGCGUUGCAAUCGCAAUGGCUUUUAACACAAUGAACAUCAACGUUGGACUACUCGUUUACACGUGUUAUUCGGAUUCUUUAAUCAAACCUUGGGAAGGGCUAGCUUUGCGGUCUCUUUUCCGUGGCUGGUGGCCGCUUCUUUCUCUAGCCGCACCAAGCGCAAUCUCUGUGUGUUUGGAGUAUUGGUGGUAUGAGAUAAUGCUUUUCCUUUGUGGGCUUCUUGGAAACCCUAAAGCGAGUGUGUCCGCCAUGGGAAUACUGAUUCAAACAACGGGACUACUCUACGUAGUCCCGUUUGCUAUAAGCUGCGCUAUUGCAACUCGUGUAGGCCAUGCUCUAGGAGGUGGGCAACCUACACGAGCUCAAUGUACGACCGUGAUUGGUUUGAUACUCGCAGUAGCUUACGGUUUAUCAGCUGCUGUUUUUGUGACCGCUCUUAGGUCGGUUUGGGGAAAGAUGUUCACGGACGAACCGGAGAUUCUAGGGUUGAUUUCGUCUGCGCUUCCGAUAUUAGGGCUUUGUGAGAUCGGAAACUCGCCGCAGACGGCUGCUUGCGGAGUCUUGACGGGCACGGCAAGGCCUAAAGAUGGGGCACGCGUUAACUUAUGUGCGUUUUACAUUGUGGGCUUGCCGGUGGCUGUUACAACCACGUUUGGGUUUAAAAUUGGGUUUCGUGGGCUAUGGUAUGGACUGUUGGCUGCGCAGAUUACAUGUUUAGUUAUGAUGCUUUAUACAUUGGUUCGUACGGAUUGGGCUCACCAGGUGAAGCGAGCAGAGGAACUUACUUCUGCUGCAGCCGACAAAAGUCAUUUGUCAUCGGACGAAGAAACCGUCCAAACUGAAGUAGGAGUUGAUGAUGAUGUUGGUAGCAAUGAUUUGGAGAUUGGUUUACUACAAAACACCAACUAAUCUAGAAAUUUUAAAAUUUUCAAUCGAUCAUUUUAAUGGAUUGUUAAUUACAUAGGAAUUAUUUUGUUUUGUUUUUUUUUGCAAACUAAAAUACCCAAGAUAGAUAUUUGCAUCGUAACAUUUGAUAGGUUUUAUAAUCUUGUAAAACCAGAACGUUUCAUUUUAAUGAAAUAUUUACAUUCUUAGCCAUAAAAAUAUAUAUUUGCAUCGGAAUUGCUAACCAAUAUUUUGGCAAAACAAUCAUAAGUACCUAUUAAUUGGUUGAGUUUAUAUUAUUAGCACAUGUAAUCUAGUACGUACAUGGGUUAUCUAAUAUUUUCCCCCAUGUUUCUUUAUGUAAGUCAGCACUCAGAACUCAGAAGUAUGCAGUGAAGAAACAGUUAUCAAAAUGGCUUUGCAUUUUGUAUAUAACUAGCAACAAGUUUGAUACGGCCCAAACUUGUGAAUAUACUUGCUCAUUCUUUGUUUUUUUUAAACUCUAAAUAUAUUGCUGAUUCUGAUCAAACUAAGCUAUUUAAAAAAGAAAAGAGAUUGUUUGUAAAGCUAAAACCAGAGAAAGGAAAAUUUAACUAACUAAUCAAAUAAAGAAAAUAGAAAAAUGGAACUCAAAUAGGUUUUGGGGAAACCAUGUCUAGAUUAGCUAAGAAGACUAAAACUUACGGGAAAAAGAUAUUGAAACCGAAAUCAAGGAAAAGGGGCCAUAGUGAGCCGAACUUUAACAGGAGCAAGUAGAGUAAUUUAUUGCCAAAUUUGAUUAUUUAUAUCCAGUUAAUUUUACUGUAUCUCAGUUCAAAAUCAAUUGACACAAAACGAUGGGUAUUUAUCACAAUGUAUUCAUAAAAUAUAUUGAAAUUUCUCACUUGCAUAGAUGUUAUCCGUAUCCCAUGUAUUUACCUCAUAUGGACUUUCUGGUCACACGUGUUGUGCGUACAUAUAAUAUGUUGCAUGUGGCAUUUCGGUGCCUAAUUCUCAAGGCAUAUAUCAUGUACCCCUUUAGGCACCGACAUUUUUGAAACAGUAAAUACAGUUUCUCGUGUUAAACAGUAAAUAAGAUUACACAUGAAUAAAAAAACUACAGAAGACUUAUUUUGACGUGUUCCUACCCAUACCCAUAUCCUACAGGGAACUUUUAACACAUUUUCUGACCGAAAGAACAAUCGUUCAAAAGUAUCGAGUUAAAGAUAAGAUUACAAAAUAUUUUUUUUCCUUUCAAAAUACUUAAUUUAAACGUAUCUAUUGAUUUAUUAUGUUAAAAAUUUAAGGAUAAAUAAACUAGUGAGGUUUUGCGUAAAAAAAAAUGGUGAGCUUUCGGUUUCAAAAAAGUCUCAAACUUGAAUAAGCAUAUAAUGCAUAUAUUAAUGCUGACAGAGCAAAUUCAUUAUUCUGCAGUAGGAUGGUAGAUAGAAAAAUUACACGACUCAAUUUCUUGGUGUGUAUUGAAUGAGAAUCGAUAAAAGUGACAUGUGUAUAUAAAUUAUAAAAUGCAUCAUUGCUAUUGGGGAAAAAAAUUCGAUUUAUUUAGCAACGAUAUAUGAUUUUGAAAAAGUUACAGUCUCAAAUUCGAUAUUUAAUAAAGCCAAUAAUUUUUCGUUGUUAAACGAUUUUCACGAAUCUACCAAUUUAUCCUGAAUUAAAAAUUUUAUAUGAUAGAAUAACUUCAUGUUAAUAUGUUAUGAUUGAAAGUUAUUGUAAUAUGUUAUCAUUCGAUUUUUUUUCCGGAAAAUUAAUUAGCAUUGUUUUGAGUCUUUUGACACACUGAAUUGUUUUCUUAUUAUGAAAGGCACAUACUUGUACAUCUAAAAUAAUAUAUUUCUAUCUAUAAAUACUUAUCAAAUGAAGCACUUAGUUUUACCGGGAUAAGACUAGAAUAGGCGACGGUCGAAGUGAUGGACUUGAAAAGCAAAGCAACCGACAAUGCAUGACCCCAUCCCACCCAUGUGUCAUGCAUUCAAUUUUUUUCACAUAACGACGAACCAUCUACAUACACUCUAUGGUGUUGGAGGGCAGCGAAAACCGACACCUUCUUGUGUAUAUCCUUACGGAGAAAUUUUCAGGGAAGCAAACAAAAGUUUUAAAUAAAAUAUUCAUGUACUAAUCAAAGUCAUACUCUUAAACCUAUAGAUAUCAUAAAAGGAGAAUUUUUUGUUUAGGUUUGUUCUCUUUAAUAAACUCAUCUUGGUUUCAAGCUUAAUUUCGUUCGUAAAUUGCUACGUUUUUUUGUUAAAGAUAGUAAAUUGUUACGUUAAAAGAUUCAGAUCGUCAGAUUUGGAUUUUCUUGUCAAAAAGUAGAUUUUAUUUUUCUUGUUCGUCAAUUGUUGGAUCGUAAGAUUAUCGUCUUCGCAUAAAAAAAAUGAUGACCAAUUUAAGUACGUAUUUGACAUAUGUGAUAUGUUUAAUCUAUACUUCAAUCAUUACCAAAUUUUAUGUAUUUUGUUGUACAUGUUUAAUCAUAUAUAUUUUUCUUACCUCUGGUAAAAUCAUUUUAGCUGAUACUAUAUACCGUGUCUACAAAAUCGAUGUACUUCAUGAUCAUUCUCAUUAUGUAGAAGAUAUUGAACACAUGAUGUUAAAAUAAAUAAUAUUUAAUGAAUUUUUUUUUUUUUUGCUAAAAUAAAGUUUAAUGAUAGUUCUAUGUAAAAUAUCUAUUUUGCGUAUCCAAUGUACACCUAUUUUCCUUAUUUGUUUUUUCGUACCACAUCUAUAGAAUUUAAAACUCCUAAGAAAUAUUGGAAAUUCAAAAACAAGUACGUUGGUUGUAGAACUUUUACAUAAAAAAAUAUAAAACUGAGCUAAAAAUGUCAAACAAAAUAGAUGAGAGGUCCUACAUAAUUAGGACCUCUGCAUUAAAUGAAAUCAACAACCAACCAACUACUCCUAUUCCUCUAAUCGCAUUCACAUUACAUUUCUCUAUAUAAAUACUCGCUCCCCAAACUCUCUUCAUCACUCAUCAUUACACACACAUCUCAUUUUGCAAACCAUCGAAAACAAACCCCUAGAACUAAGAGAGAAAAUGGCUGGUCUAAUGAAGUUGGCAUGCUUGGUCUUGGCUUGCAUGAUUGUGGCCGGUCCAAUCACAGCCAAAGCGGCUCUUAGCUGUGGAACCGUUAGUAGUAGCUUGGCACCGUGCAUUGGCUACUUGACCCAAGGUACGCCCCUUCCCUUAGCGUGCUGCGCCGGCGUUAAAAGACUAAACAGCAUGGCCCGUACAACCCCGGACCGUCAGCAAGCUUGCCGUUGCCUUGUUGGAGCCGCCAACGCCUUAGGUUCCGGUCUCAACACUGGCCGUGCAUCUGGACUUCCUAAGGCAUGUGGUGUCAAUAUUCCAUACGCAAUCAGCAAAAACACUAACUGCGCCAUGUAUGUGUUAAUCUCUCACUCUCUCUGAUACAUAUGAAAACUAAAGGUUUCUUGUUUUGUUACAAUACGAAUAUACGAUGUAACUAAUAUUAAAGUUAGUUUUUUUGACAAAAUGAAGAUUUGAGUUUGCUAUAAAACGGUUUCAUGUUUUACUAAAGUUUAUAAGUCUUCCCGGUUCAACCAUGUUCCAAUAUAAAAGUUGAAUUUUUAUACCGUUGCAACAAGUAUAUAUUAAAAGUUUAUUUUUUUGAGUGGAAAUUAGAGGUUUUUAUAUAGUAACGGUGUUAUGUUUAUUUGUAUGUGGUUGCAGCGUGCGUUAAAUGAGCGGCGGUCGGAUGAAGCUCUAGCGGAUGUUUCAAAUAUUAUAUGAGACUAUGAGAGAAUACUAAAUAAGAUGUAAUGUCUGUUUUUUUUUUGAGUUUUUAGUUUCCUGUCUUUUUUUCUUUUUUCUUUUAUGGUGGCGUUCCUAUUACUUGGUCGUCUGUACUAUGUUCGCAAUCAACGUUAUAUGAGUUUCAAAGUUCACAUUAUUUUAUAUUCUUACCAAAUCUUAGUUUAGUUUCAUCGAUAUGAAAAAUGAUCAUUAUACAUUAACAAUAUAUAUAUAUAUAUAUAUUGAUUUGCAUUACAGUUGGGAAGUAACGGAUAAUUUAAAUUUAAUUUUACAGCCAAAUAAAAUAACGGGACAUUCUCCAAAUUUGUACUAUUUACUUGUUUAGACUUAAGAUAAUCGAGAAAAUGAUGGAUCGCUAUAUGGAAUCGUGACAACUCUUGGAAAACCAGGACCCUAUCUUAUAAUGUGCCCAAAACUAGGGAUUUAUUUCAGUUUGACUUAAUUAAUUUUACAGAUUAGAUAAUGAUUUGGAUAUUGGACAAACCAAUAAAAUGAACAUAACGAAAUAAUAUUUCUAUCAAAAUUUGGUUAUCUUUUCAUCAUUGUUAGUUAUUAUUUUUUCUAAUUUAAUUUAAUUUAUAAUCUACCGUGUGAUGAAUUUUUUCUAAAGAAGAAAAAUCAAAAUUCUGUUAAACUCCAUACAGCUCCCAAAAGUCUAGGCCCAAUUCUGGUUGCUCUCUCAGUGUUGCUAAUUAACUACUUUUUUUUUUAACACAUCGAGGGAAACUCAAUUUUACAAUCAAAAUCAAACCAAUAAGUCUUAACCAUGAAAUAAUACCAAAGAUGAUGAAAUACAUUAGAGAAAAACCCAUAUAAGCUGCUAUUGUUGUAGAUGAAGUUUUUUUUGCAGAUUUAUUGGAGGCAACUGUGCGUUUGGGAAACAAAAUUUGGGAGGUGAGAAGAAACUCGCGUUGUGAUAAGAAAAUAGCGCAAUCACAUUUUGACGGAAAUUUACAAAAUCAUAGUUAUACCGGAAAAUCACCGACUGUUUGUUGAAUUAGUCCAAAGAGACUCAUGUUGGUUCAAGGUUUUUGUUUGUAUAGGUGGUUAUGUGAUAGAAAUAGUCGGAUUUAUAUUUCUGUUCUUCCGAAAUAACAUUUGUUGAUUUUUCUUUGUUGAUUAUUAGUCUAAUGUGUAUAAAAAAUGAUAAAGUUAAACAAAACGGGUAAAUUAUCGUUUUGCAUAAUUUUCUUACAUAUUUAUUUGAUCCACAGCGAAAAACGGUCUUGGGACAGCAGCUCUCAAGAUUAACAGCUACAGUUUGUAAAACAAAUGUAGACUUUGUUUGAGAAAGAGGAGUUUUUUAAAGUUUUUGAAACUCAUAUGUGUUUUUCUUGUUUUGUGAAGAUAUAAUUUGUGUGUACUUAACGCAUAUAUCUAGUCUUGUAUGAGUGAAUCAAAUAUUUAAAAUAAAGAUUGCAAUGUAAAUUUCUAGACUUAUAUACAUAGUGCAUACAUAUUUGUUGAAAAAUGAGAGCAUAAUAUAUGGUUUUAAUUAUAUUAAAUUUUCGUGUUGCGUGACUUGCGUUUCAUCUCAUUAAGAAAGUUUUUACGUAUUUUGUUGGAUCCGCUAGCUAAAUUAUUUUCAUUUGUUAAUCGGAUGUAAAAGAUAUUAGUCAGAUGAUGUUAAGUAAGAUACAAUAAGAAUAUAACAUUUAGUGAUAUUUCUACGUGAAAUGACUAUUUUCUUAUCCAUGUAUAGUUUUAACAUUCUUAAAAUGAAAAUGCAAGAGAGAUUACAUACGUCUUUUUGUGGGUGGGGGGGGGGGGGGGAAAAGAACUACGGUAAAAAAUGUAAGUAUUAUAAGUUUUCAGAAAAAUAAUAUGAUUGAAAUGUCAAACAAAAUACGUAGAUGAGAAAUGAGAGGUACUCACCACUCCUACAUAAUUAGGUACUGUACAUUAAAUGUAACCAACCACCAAUCAACUAAUCAUUUCCUCUAAAUCCCAUUCACAUUCACAACAUCAAAACUUUCUUUCUCUAUAUAAACACUCACUCCCUCAACUCUCUUCAUCACCCAAUAUCACUACACUACAUACAUCUGCUUCUUCAAACAACCAAAAAAAAAACUAUAUUUCCAAGAUAAAAAGAAAAUGGCUGGUCUAAUGAAGUUGGCAUUCCUGGUCUUGGCCUGCAUGAUUGUGGCCGGUCCAAUCACAGCCAAAGCGGCUCUGACCUGUGGCACCGUUACCAGCAACGUUGCAGCGUGCAUUGGCUACAUUACCCAAGGUGGGCCCGUUCCAGGAGCUUGCUGCUCAGGCAUUAAAAACCUUAACAGCAUGGCCCGUACAACCCCGGACCGUCAACAAGCUUGUCGUUGCCUUAAAACUGCCGCUAAUGC
Molecule: long non-coding RNA, 17185 nt
Filed under: Eutrema salsugineum
Lineage: Eukaryota; Viridiplantae; Streptophyta; Magnoliopsida; Brassicales; Brassicaceae
Description: long non-coding RNA (ESAL_LNC001972)
Source: RNAcentral